GACGAACGCUGGCGGCGCGCCUAAUACAUGCAAGUAGAACGCUGAAGGAGGAGCUUGCUUCUCUGGAUGAGUUGCGAACGGGUGAGUAACGCGUAGGUAACCUGCCUGGUAGCGGGGGAUAACUAUUGGAAACGAUAGCUAAUACCGCAUAACAGUAGAUAUCGCAUGAUAUCUACUUGAAAGGUGCAAUUGCAUCACUACCAGAUGGACCUGCGUUGUAUUAGCUAGUUGGUGAGGUAACGGCUCACCAAGGCGACGAUACAUAGCCGACCUGAGAGGGUGAUCGGCCACACUGGGACUGAGACACGGCCCAGACUCCUACGGGAGGCAGCAGUAGGGAAUCUUCGGCAAUGGACGGAAGUCUGACCGAGCAACGCCGCGUGAGUGAAGAAGGUUUUCGGAUCGUAAAGCUCUGUUGUAAGAGAAGAACGAGUGUGAGAGUGGAAAGUUCACACUGUGACGGUAUCUUACCAGAAAGGGACGGCUAACUACGUG
Molecule: ribosomal RNA, 495 nt
Filed under: uncultured bacterium
Lineage: Bacteria
Description: partial 16S ribosomal RNA
Rfam family: Bacterial small subunit ribosomal RNA
Source: RNAcentral